RNAcentral lists this ribosomal RNA (493 nucleotides) under uncultured Glomus. RNAcentral describes it as "SSU rRNA". It matches the Rfam family "Eukaryotic small subunit ribosomal RNA", at positions 569 to 1066 of the family's 1831-position model. The record is from RNAcentral. Lineage: Eukaryota; Fungi; Glomeromycota; Glomeromycetes; Glomerales; Glomeraceae.
AGCAGCCGCGGUAAUUCCAGCUCCAAUAGCGUAUAUUAAAGUUGUUGCAGUUAAAAAGCUCGUAGUUGAAUUUCGGGGUUAGUAGGUUGGUCAUGCCUCUGGUAUGUACUGGUCUCACUGAUUCCUCCUUCCUUAUGAACCGUAAUGCCAUUAAUUUGGUGUUGCGGGGAAUUUGGACUGUUACUUUGAAAAAAUUAGAGUGUUUAAAGCAAGCUAACGCUUGAAUACAUUAGCAUGGAAUAAUGAAAUAGGACGUUCGAUCUUAUUUUGUUGGUUUCUAGGAUUGACGUAAUGAUUAAUAGGGAUAGUUGGGGGCAUUAGUAUUCAAUUGUCAGAGGUGAAAUUCUUGGAUUUAUUGAAGACUAACUACUGCGAAAGCAUUUGCCGAGGAUGUUUUCAUUAAUCAAGAACGAAAGUUAGGGGAUCGAAGACGAUCAGAUACCGUCGUAGUCUUAACCAUAAACUAUGCCGACUAGGGAUCGGAUGAUUUAUA